Long non-coding RNA from Adelges cooleyi (spruce gall adelgid), 221 nucleotides. RefSeq lists it as uncharacterized. Lineage: Eukaryota; Metazoa; Arthropoda; Insecta; Hemiptera; Adelgidae. The record is from RefSeq and is a predicted model, not a curated record. The transcript is spliced from 4 exons.
AGUAACCCCGCAAGAAACACAGACAUGGUCAGCAGAAACAAGACCAGCAGCCGCAGUUACACAAACAACAGCCGUCGGUAUGUUUACGUUUACAAAAGGGAUGUAAAGAUUGCAUGGUCCAGGCGAGUGUAUGUUCUAUCGGAUGUUGUAUAUACCUUGGCUGCUGCUUCUGCUGCUGCCCUAAAUUUUUUUAUUCUGUAACACAAGCUGUGAAAAAUAAA